GGUGGGCAACUACCACUCAGGGCCGGAAAGCUCUCCAAACUCGGUCAUUUAGAGGAAGUAAAAGUCGUAACAAGGUCUCCGUUGGUGAACCAGCGGAGGGAUCAUUACCGAGUUUACAACUCCCAAACCCAAUGUGAACGUUACCAAACUGUUGCCUCGGCGGGAUCUCUGCCCCGGGUGCGUCGCAGCCCCGGACCAAGGCGCCCGCCGGAGGACCAACCAAAACUCUUAUUGUAUACCCCCUCGCGGGUUUUUUUUAUAAUCUGAGCCUUCUCGGCGCCUCUCGUAGGCGUUUCGAAAAUGAAUCAAAACUUUCAACAACGGAUCUCUUGGUUCUGGCAUCGAUGAAGAACGCAGCGAAAUGCGAUAAGUAAUGUGAAUUGCAGAAUUCAGUGAAUCAUCGAAUCUUUGAACGCACAUUGCGCCCGCCAGUAUUCUGGCGGGCAUGCCUGUCCGAGCGUCAUUUCAACCCUCGAACCCCUCCGGGGGGUCGGCGUUGGGGAUCGGCCCUGCCUUGGCGGUGGCCGUCUCCGAAAUACAGUGGCGGUCUCGCCGCAGCCUCUCCUGCGCAGUAGUUUGCACACUCGCAUCGGGAGCGCGGCGCGUCCACAGCCGUUAAACACCCAACUUCUGAAAUGUUGACCUCGGAUCAGGUAGGAAUACCCGCUGAACUUAAGCAUAUCAAUAAGCGGAGGAAAAGAAACCAACAGGGAUUGCCCCAGUAACGGCGAGUGAAGCGGCAACAGCUCAAAUUUGAAAUCUGGUCCCCAGGGCCCGAGUUGUAAUUUGUAGAGGAUGCUUUUGGUGAGGUGCCGCCCGAGUUCCCUGGAACGGGACGCCACAGAGGGUG
This 850-nucleotide ribosomal RNA is filed under the name Trichoderma sp. 14 BRO-2013. RNAcentral's name for it is "eukaryotic LSU rRNA". The stretch from base 640 to 850 matches the Rfam family "Eukaryotic large subunit ribosomal RNA", at positions 1 to 214 of the family's 3401-position model. Lineage: Eukaryota; Fungi; Ascomycota; Sordariomycetes; Hypocreales; Hypocreaceae. The record is from RNAcentral.